Molecule: ribosomal RNA, 407 nt
Filed under: uncultured bacterium
Lineage: Bacteria
Description: bacterial SSU rRNA
Rfam family: Bacterial small subunit ribosomal RNA
Source: RNAcentral
ACUCCUACGGGAGGCAGCAGUGGGGAAUAUUGCACAAUGGGGGAAACCCUGAUGCAGCCAUGCCGCGUGUGUGAAGAAGGCCUUCGGGUUGUAAAGCACUUUCAGUAGGGAGGAAGGUAGUGUAGUUAACACCUGCAUUAUUUGACGUUACCUACAGAAGAAGCACCGGCUAACUCCGUGCCAGCAGCCGCGGUAAUACGGAGGGUGCGAGCGUUAAUCGGAAUUACUGGGCGUAAAGCGCAUGCAGGCGGCCUGUUAAGUCAGAUGUGAAAGCCCGGGGCUUAACCUCGGAAUUGCAUUUGAAACUGGCAGGCUAGAGUCUUGUAGAGGGGGGUAGAAUUUCAGGUGUAGCGGUGAAAUGCGUAGAGAUCUGAAGGAAUACCAGUGGCGAAGGCGGCCCCCUGGAC